Drosophila montana is the source of this 542-nucleotide long non-coding RNA. RefSeq lists it as uncharacterized. The record is from RefSeq and is a predicted model, not a curated record. NCBI's taxonomy places the organism in Eukaryota, Metazoa, Arthropoda, Insecta, Diptera, Drosophilidae. The transcript is spliced from 2 exons.
UUCAAUUUCAAUACUUUCCAAAUAUAUCAAAUUAAAAUCACGGUUGACAUUAUGACAUAACUUCGUUCGGGCUUUUUUCACUUAAUCAAAUUUUAGAGGGUAUAAAAAACUUAACAGGACUCGAGAUCCAUUACUGGCCGUGGCUUGACGUUGCUUUCGUCUUAGCUGCAAAUGCAAUAAAAUAGAAAGGUACAUGAAAUAACUCAAAGUAUCAGAAAUGCAGUUACACAAAAACACAAGGCAUUACUCGGUCACUCCUCAGACCCCAUCAGACAGUCAGGCCCCCGGCUGUUUCUCGGUGCCUGUGCAUAGCGAAUGAACGGAAUGGCUUGUAAUGCCAGGCAGGGGAAUGGUAGAGAUGCCGUUGAGGUAGCUCUGUGUUAAGCCUAUCCAGCUUGAUUAAAGUGCAUUAUGUCAGAUGAAAGAGGCACCCCAAGUGCGGCAUAAGCCAAGGGAUUUCUGCUUAAGUUUAUAUGACAAAAGCAUGAAUAUAUAAAAUAAAGGGCAAGAAUGCGCAAGCUAUUCUUAUUAGAAAAUGGCAA